Cydia pomonella (codling moth) is the source of this 9925-nucleotide RNA transcript. It is a transcript of the gene named ankyrin repeat domain-containing protein 13D, with no coding region annotated. The transcript is spliced from 13 exons. The record is from RefSeq and is a predicted model, not a curated record. NCBI's taxonomy places the organism in Eukaryota, Metazoa, Arthropoda, Insecta, Lepidoptera, Tortricidae.
GCUUCAGUGGACCCGUGCGGGUUGCGGGCAAAGAGUAGUAUAGUGUUGCGGGCAUCGUUCCCUUUCACUCACCUCACCUACGCCUUCAUUGGAGUAAAGUGCUAAUUACAUCCACACUUCAUCAGGCCUCAUAACAGACCCGAUUUCGGGCCCGAGAAAUAAUAUUUUUCCGUUUCACCAAAUUCAUCAGCACAUCGUUUACAAUAUUUCAAAUGUAAAAGAAAGGGUUCAUAUUCAAUAAUAUCAAACAUUGAACAUUUUUGGCAAUAGUGACAAAUUAUUUUUUAUAUAUCAAAUAUUGCUAACGAUGUGUUGAUAUUCCGUGAAACGGAAACGCUUAUCGGGCCCGAAAUCGGGAAGUGUGGAUGUAAUUGGCGCUUAAAAGAGAAAGGGCAUUUUUCGAAUUUCCGUUUUCGCGGAAGCCCUCGGGAGAUUCUAUGCACGGGAGCUUACGUGUUUUGGAAAUUGAAUGAAUCUGUGGUAUUCUGUCUAUCCUUAUACCCUAUCUUGUCUGUGGUUUCAGUUGACGUUUCAGCGGGGGACCCGUGUUGGGAUUUCACGAGUAUUUUCAAUUAAUUAGUUUGCACAGCUUAUUAUUACUAAUUAGAUAGUGUUAGUGUCGUGUACUCCAACUUAAGGGUUCGGCCUUGUAUUUGUGUAGAACAUCAAAUGUGUGGAUACCAUGGUUUUAACGGCUGAAGAAGUUAAACAACGCUAUCCUCUACAUUGGAUGGUGUGGAACGAUAAUCAUGAACAUUUGAAGAGACAUUUAGAAGAAAAUACGGUUCCAACGGAAGAAUUGGAGCUCCGGGACCCCCGAGGUCGGACCCCACUGUUGUUGGCGGUAACACUGGGCUUGACCGAGUGUGUUAAAGUGCUGAUUGACGCCGGCGCUGAUGUCAACUGCGAGAAAGAUGGUUGGACGGUGGUCCAAGAGGCGACGUCGACGGGCGACCCCGGUAUCCUAGGUUUAGUGUUGUCCCGGCGGGACUAUUUGCGGCACGCGGUGCGGGCAGGGGGCAUCCCGGACCUAUUGAACCGACUCAGUCUGGCCCCGGAUUUCUAUGUGGAGAUGAAAUGGGAAUUUACCAGUUGGGUGCCUUUAGUAUCGCGGAUGUGUCCAUUCGACACGUAUAAAGUAUACAAGCGGGGCGGUAACGUGCGCGUCGACACCACCCUCGUCGGUUUCGAGAACAACCACUGGCAGAGGGGCGACAGGACGUAUAUAUUUAGGGGACAGGGUGCGAACGCAACUCUAACGGAAAUGGACCACGAGCUAGGCACGAUGUGGAGUGAGACCCUGGAGCCGGCGACGGGGCGCGCCUGGCCGCCGCCCGCGCCCGCCGCCCUCGCCGCAAGACUGUCGCAGCCCAUUGCGCUUAACUAUUUAGACACUGACAAAAUUAGCUUUGAGAGAAAUAAAAGCGGAAUUUGGGGAUGGAGGCAAGACAAGACAGAAGUGGUCAACACGUACGAGUGCAAAGUGUUCAGCGCGAACAACGUCGAGCUAGUUUCCAAAACUAGGACCGAACAUCUGUCUAAAGCAGACAAAAACAAGCUGGCGCCCCGGGCGCCUUUAGCGGGGCUGCUGGCGCUCGCGGACCGCGACAGUGGCGCCACCACCCCCACCACUCCCGACUCGUUCCCAGAAGAAGACAUCGCAAACAGGAUGACAAACUCGCGGUCACAGCAGGAGCUCGCGGUCACGUGGCAGGAGUACUUCUCCGACGAGCCGCUAGAGAGAGACAUCGGCAAGCCGAAGGAAGUCACCACUAAAGUGCAAAAGUUCAGAGCCACGCUGUGGCUGUGUGAAGACUACCCGUUAGAGCUCCAAGAGCAGAUAAUGCCUAUCCUGGACCUGAUGGCGUCCAUGUCGUCCCCGCAUUUCGCCAAGCUGAAGGACUUUAUACAGAUGCAGCUGCCCGCCGGCUUCCCAGUCAAAAUUGAAAUCCCCCUAUUCCACGUGCUAAACGCCCGUAUAACGUUCGGCAACAUAUUCGGCACGGAAACGCCGGUGCCACACGUAGAAUGCAUACAAGAAGGCGAUCGCCUGUCGUGUAUAGUGGACGAUGCGUGCUUCAAUCUGGCCAAGGGUUACAGGGAUGCACUAGCGACCGACGAACGGAUAGCAUGCAGUAUGGAGCACGACGAGAGUUUACUGCAGUACGCCAUCCAGCAGAGCCUCAUGGAUCCCGGCACUCAUGAGGAUCAGGUGGACGUGUGGGAGGCGCUGCGCGGCGCGCGCGCGUCGCCGUCCGCCUCGCCGCGGCCGCGCUCGCCGCUGCCGCCGCAAGGGGUCCACGUCGACCUGCUCGCGCACGAGGAGCGCCAGCUGCAGAAGUACGUAUAUUGUAAUAGUAUACAGUAAGGCGGUCGGUGUGCAGGUGGACGUGUGGGAGGCGCUGCGCGGCGCGCGCGCGUCGCCGUCCGCCUCGCCGCGGCCGCGCUCGCCGCUGCCGCCGCAAGGGGUCCACGUCGACCUGCUCGCGCACGAGGAGCGCCAGCUGCAGAAGUACGUAUAUUGUAAUAGUAUACAGUAAGGCGGUCGGUGUGCAGGUGGACGUGUGGGAGGCGCUGCGCGGCGCGCGCGCGUCGCCGUCCGCCUCGCCGCGGCCGCGCUCGCCGCUGCCGCCGCAAGGGGUCCACGUCGACCUGCUCGCGCACGAGGAGCGCCAGCUGCAGAAGUACGUAUAUUGUAAUAGUAUACAGUAAGGCGGUCGGUGUGCAGGUGGACGUGUGGGAGGCGCUGCGCGGCGCGCGCGCGUCGCCGUCCGCCUCGCCGCGGCCGCGCUCGCCGCUGCCGCCGCAAGGGGUCCACGUCGACCUGCUCGCGCACGAGGAGCGCCAGCUGCAGAAGUACGUAUAUUGUAAUAGUAUACAGUAAGGCGGUCGGUGUGCAGGUGGACGUGUGGGAGGCGCUGCGCGGCGCGCGCGCGUCGCCGUCCGCCUCGCCGCGGCCGCGCUCGCCGCUGCCGCCGCAAGGGGUCCACGUCGACCUGCUCGCGCACGAGGAGCGCCAGCUGCAGAAGUACGUAUAUUGUAAUAGUAUACAGUAAGGCGGUCGGUGUGCAGGUGGACGUGUGGGAGGCGCUGCGCGGCGCGCGCGCGUCGCCGUCCGCCUCGCCGCGGCCGCGCUCGCCGCUGCCGCCGCAAGGGGUCCACGUCGACCUGCUCGCGCACGAGGAGCGCCAGCUGCAGAAGUACGUAUAUUGUAAUAGUAUACAGUAAGGCGGUCGGUGUGCAGGUGGACGUGUGGGAGGCGCUGCGCGGCGCGCGCGCGUCGCCGUCCGCCUCGCCGCGGCCGCGCUCGCCGCUGCCGCCGCAAGGGGUCCACGUCGACCUGCUCGCGCACGAGGAGCGCCAGCUGCAGAAGUACGUAUAUUGUAAUAGUAUACAGUAAGGCGGUCGGUGUGCAGGUGGACGUGUGGGAGGCGCUGCGCGGCGCGCGCGCGUCGCCGUCCGCCUCGCCGCGGCCGCGCUCGCCGCUGCCGCCGCAAGGGGUCCACGUCGACCUGCUCGCGCACGAGGAGCGCCAGCUGCAGAAGUACGUAUAUUGUAAUAGUAUACAGUAAGGCGGUCGGUGUGCAGGUGGACGUGUGGGAGGCGCUGCGCGGCGCGCGCGCGUCGCCGUCCGCCUCGCCGCGGCCGCGCUCGCCGCUGCCGCCGCAAGGGGUCCACGUCGACCUGCUCGCGCACGAGGAGCGCCAGCUGCAGAAAGCUAUCGAAGCGUCCCUCGCGGCCAUCACCCUGUCCACACCGUCGCCCGCGUCCACACCGACCGACCCCGCGUUGCAGGAAGCCAUUGAGGAGUCCGCGAGGGAACUGGCCAAUAGGAGAGCGGAACUCGAGGCCGAGCAGAGGGAGCUAGAUGAGGCGCUGCGCCGGUCGCUGCUGGACCACUGAGGAUCUCAAAUAUACGGUACACUUAAGCGUCCACCAAAAGAAGACUUAGCUUAUACAUACAUUAUUAAUAAUAUAGCUAAAUUGUACAUUUAUUUAUGACAAACGGUGAUCAUACAACUAUUAGUGGCAGUACAUUUACACAAGCAUCUUUAUUCUAUUUUAUAUGAAUCUUAAAAUAAAGUAAACUAAAAAUCACGUGAUUUCGGCUAAUGACAUAAUUCCACAGAUACAAGAUGUGGUACAGGCAGCAUCAAAUAGACAGUGACGGCCAAAGUGAUCAAAUAUAUCGGAACAUAUUAUUUUAUCUACGAUAACAAAGACGUGCUAUGUAGGUACAGUAGGUAGGUAAAUAUCGACGCGGACAAAGUGACGUGGAAAAUAUGUAUACACGCCUAGUAGUGUGUACAUAAUUUUGGCAGUUUGUCCAUGUCGAUUUUAAUACCUUGACUACAUACAUCAUCAAAUGACCCAAGUCACGUGGUUUCUCUGUAUACAUCAUUUUAAAAUCCAUAUAGGUAGAAGUCUAUGAGGUGAUUUUAAAAUAUUUAAUUCACUAACAAUUUGUAACGAAAAUGAAUGCUUGUAUGUAGACAAAUUGCCACCAAUACGUAUAUUGUGCCUCUUUCCACGCCCGAUAAUGUUGGUGAAUAUUUAUAUUUAUAUAUACAAGUAAAAGUAUGAGGCUUAUAGAACCUGGCUAAAGAAAAAUUAAUCCAUUCGAUUAAUUUCUUCAGUCGGGACAAGUACGUUCAUAGGUCAAUGUACAUUUAGCGAGGCCCUCUGGUACACUUAUUUGAGGCGUGAGGCCCCUCGGACCGCGAGGCCGUCAGCAAACGCCUAACGCCGCUUCUGGUUAGAGGCCUUUUCAUCGUGACCAACCUUUUCUGUUCUGUACUAGUGUGCUUUAACCUCUUUAUUUAGGAUCAGAGGCGCAGGUGCCCUAUGGACGCAUUUGUCCCAACGAUACUUAAAUAAUUUCUUAGCCAAGUUCUGGUACAAUCGCCAUCAAAAAUAUCUACUAAACAAGGUACAGAAUAUCUAAACUUGUAUCUUAGUGUCUUGACAAUAGAGUUGUGCUUAGAUAUUUGGGAGUACCUUGUUCGAUCAGAUAUAUAUGAUGGCAAUUGUACAGGUACAGUCAGCUAUAGACGGAUGAGUUCUUAGAUCUUUUCAAGUUCGUCCUUUGUUGCUGAUUAGUACAGCUAGUACACAAAUAACACCACACACAUUUACAAAUGUAAAAUUCGAGUAAAUUUACUAACUCAUUGAGUGUUUAUUCGACUUAUACGUGAGCAACCCGAUUUAAACACUUAAUAUGUCCGAGUCUCACGUGAGUUUUCUAGUUAAAGGUUAGGUUAUUGUUGAAUUUAUUCGAAUUCUACGAAUUCGAUAUCGAAGUGCUGUAAAUUAAACAUACUAUGUAUAUAGUAAGGUAAAACGUAAUACAGCUAGCUGUAGUCAUAAUAAUAUUUGUAACCAAAGGUAUUGAGCAUGCAUUUAUUGGAAAUGCCAUUACACUAACGUAAUAAAAUUAUAAACCGCCUUUAAAUUUUUACAUAAACUCCGUAAAAUUAACAUAAUUUGUAAUAGAUACAAGUGCGAAAAAUAGAAAAUUCGAAACGAGUGGCGAUACAUUAAAACACCACCGAAGGGAGUGUUGUAAAUCGACACGAGUUGCGAAUUACAUAUUCGCACAUAUGUCCCUUUAAUUUUUCGACAUUGUUACGUAACGUGCUAAUUAUGGCACUAGAGCGGCAAAGUAGCACCAUAAUAUGUACUGUAAAAACUAUUUCCAAAUAUCAAUUAAAAUUUUCAGUUCAGCGCACUUACAACCCCUCUGGUGUUGCGGGUAUCUAUACCCACUGUCAUGGGCCACUGUAAUCGCUUACCAUCAAGUGAACCGUCUGCUCGUCUGUCUCCUAUAUCAUAAAAAACGCGUGCUCAAUACUCUUGGAUUAAGAUAAUAGCAAUAUUGGAAUUUCACUGUUUAUUUAAGAAUGGGAGCAAUAACUUAGCGUGAGCUAGCUAUUAUUUUGUCUUUUUGACUUUAACAUGAAUUAUCGGCUUACUUAAUUGUAGCUAUAAUUUGAAAUGACGUCAAAUUCCUAUGAAAAAUAUGGCGUUAUAAUGGCACCCCAAACUUCGUCAUUUCACAGUCUGUGCAGUGUUAAAUAGUUUAGACUACAAAUGUGCAUUUUUUUAAGUUUUUAAAAACUUUGAAACUUCUGGGAAAUUUCAGGAAAAACACAGGAAACAAAUUUUUAGUUUGAAAAUGGAAUAGAUUCGAUUCCUGUGCAAAAAUAUGACAAGUUUUUGAAUAUUUUCCAAGUGGAAAUUUUGCAGUUUUAGAAACUUUCCGACGGCACAUAAGGGGGCCUAGCCAAGAUGAGAAUCGUUUGCAGAAAACGAUAAGAAACGCUAUUGUCUCUCUAUCACUCUUCCAUAUUAGUGCGGUAGAGACAGAUAGCGUUUCGUUUGUCUGCGAACGUUUGCAAUCUUGGCUAGGCCCCCAGUAGUUUAGACGGACUCCAGAGGUGUAGGCUCUUAUUUUAUUUUUUAAUAUUUAUAUCUCUGUACAAGUGGUAGUUUUUAUUGCUAACUUUAUAUAAAUAAGAUACCAAUGGAGCCCCUUCUAAAGAUACAAUUUUAGUAGUAUACAUAUACUGUUAUCACUGAUCGUGAAAAAUCCGUGCUGAUAUGUAUGUGCGUAGUUUUUUACAUGUAUGUAAUGUUAGGGCGACCUGUGAGAAUCUUUAUAUACUUGAAACUGCCUUCUUGUGUCAAACUAUCCCUAGUAAAUCAUCUUGCGGCCCACCAUACAUAAAAAAAUACAGUCAAAUUUGAAUCCAUUGUAUUAGAAAUUAGAAUUGAAUUUGUUUCGUUUCAAAAUCAAACAUAACAAAAGCAACUCUGUUCCAUUUAAUAAUUAUGUAAAUUUCAUUUGAGGUAAUUUGUAUUAUUAUUAUUAGGACAACCCCAAGAGGUUAUUAGCCUCAGAUCACUUUGCGUAUCUCAUAGACCAGGGGCCCAUUUCUCGAACGGCAUUAGACUAAUAUCCACGAACUGUCAAGUCGUAUGGGUUGCCAUGGCAACACACUAAUAAUAUUAGACUAAUACCGUUCGACAAAUGGGCCCCUGUAAAACGCAUUACGGUCAACACAUUGACGCUCAAGAACUAAUGUAGUAUGAGAGCACUACUGUUGCAUUUAUACUCAGUAGAAAAUGGCGGCAAAUUUAAAAAAUGAAGGCGCGAAGAGUUGUCUACCCAUAGAAAAACGGCAAAUUAAAAAAAUGUCGGCGCUAUAAGUUGUCUUCCCAUGGAAAACUUGAAUUUCGCGCGUUUGUCUACUGACAAAGUAGGUGUGUAUUUAGUCUGGCAAGCCACCUUUGUCAGCGGAAAGCGGUAAUCUUCAGUAUUAAAUUAAAUGACAUAUGUAUCGUGUUCCGAAAAAGACGGUGGCUCGUGCCGGGGUGUGAACCCGCUACCUCCGGAUUGAAAGUGUCACGGUGUUACCGCUAGGCUACCAGCGCACACACAGCUUACACACGUAACUGCUUGUAGCAUUAAGUAAUUUAUCAUUAUUUAAAGCAGGUGACUAACGGAGGACCGGAGUCCGGAUCUGAACUGCCGACCUAUUUUUUUUUUGCUUGUUAAUAAACUGGAGUAGAAACGUACCGCGAUGGUCACUUUACUUUAAAAACUGGAACCCUGAAGAAACUACUUGGUGAUUCCUGAUUUAAAGCAUGGCACAUAGGCUAUGGUGGUAAAAAAUGGUGUAGAAGUCUUAGUAAUGCUGCUCCACUUACAAGUAAACGAGCGUCUUUGUGGUGACCGUGGUCUUCGUGAAAUGCUUCGUAAUGUGACGUCCAAACAUUAUGAGUUAACCUGUGUAUAUAGCAAUAUACAAAAAAUCGUAAGAAUUUUAGUGUUGUGAAAAAAGUUCAACGUAAAUCUUUUAAAAAAUAUGUUAAAAAAAUGACAUUACCUUCUUCCUACGCUUUAAGGUAAACACAUUUUCACUUCCUAUAUGUUAGCGUUAUUUAAGUAUUCUUAGGACGCAAUAAUUUGUUUAAGGUCUGUAUGGCUUUUUGUAAGAAUUCACUUUAAUUUACUAUAAAAAAAAAACGCACGGAAGAAACUUGUAUAACAAAUACUAUAUAUUAAAGUGUUUUCUUUCAGUAAGCCAACACUUUUGUGCAAUAAGUAUUUUAUUAAAGUAAUGUAAUAUUAAGUUAUUAUUAUUAAUUUGUCCAUAACUUUGAAAUAAUUAUUCUUAUAUCUUUCCAAAUUAAAUUAAAUGUGCUGUCUAAAUAAUAUGCAUCCUUUGCUUUAAAUUUUGACAUUAUCUAUUGGUUUAUGUAUUAUCUAUAUUUAUUUUGAUGAGUAAUAUGAAACUCCCUGGUAUGGAAUGUAGAAAAUGGAGCAAAAUCUCUGUGUAUGAAAAGUGACCAUAAAAAAAAACAUUAAAUAGAUGGCGCCACAAUACACCGAAAUGACCUAAUACUAAGACCUAAUAUUUUAUAUCGAUGUGCUAUACCCGUGCGCGACAUAACAUACGCUAUGCGACAAAAUUAAAAACACGUUUUAACAUUCCUGACAACAUACCUAAAACAGCCUACGUAAUUUCGGGUCGGGAUACGUAAUUUGUACCAUGGUUCAUGUAAUACCCAUGAGCCUACCUAGCGCCACCGGAGAGAUUAGGAACUAUUAUUUAAAGCUGAAAGCUGGUCACUUUUGCACAGUUCUGCCAUAAGGGAUUGUCGUCCUUUCUCUACCGUCUAUACACCCUGGGGCCCAUUUCUCGAACGGUAUUAGACUAAUACCGAGAGUCCUAGAACAGUCAAGUGUGCUGUGUGUAUGGGUUACCAUGGCAACACACUAAUAAUAUUAGACUGAUACCGUUCGAGAAAUGGGCCCCUGGAUGUAACCUCAAGUAAUAUGUACUCAAUAACUAAUGAAGGUAUGUAAAACAUUUUUUAUGUGAGAUUGGCAGGAUUUCAGAAAAAAAAUUACCCGUUUUGCCUUAAUUAUCCUUAAUAUUCCAUACAAAAUGUAUUAGGUCGUUUUGUAACGGUCCAUACAACAUGUAUGGUUAACUGCGUUACAAAACUGACGAUUAAAAGUGGGACACUUUUUUUUUUCUAAGUUGGAAUAACCCAAAAUUAGUUAGGUUUUUAAAAACUACACAGUACACUUUUUUUCUGAAAAUGCCCAUUAAGCAUAAUCGGUUUUCGUAAGUUUUAUUUCAAGGCACGAAGGUACCUAAUGCGGUGUGUCCUGUGUCCAAAUGUCCAAAUCAACUUUAUUUCGUUGUGAAACUUGUCUUAAAUGUGUCCUCUAACUUUGACGGCCCAAAUGUGACAUUUUCAACCAAAAGGUACCACAUUGUCGGUUGCCGAUGAGGUUGAUUUCAAAUUGAAGCAUUGUAUAUGGAAAUAGCGCCAUAUUGACAACCGACAAUAAGUACUUAACCUUAUGGUUGAAAAUGGCACAAAUAAUAAGUCAUCUCUUUUUAAUUAGUCCUUAGUUUUUCUAGUUAGGUCUUAUCUUUUUAUUUAUUUACUUAAAAACGCAAUAAAAGGCUUGUGUCAAUUGUAGACUUACAAUAAGUGUGCUCGAUCUUUGACAUGUUUAACCUCUUUCCGCCCAGAGGCCUUAAAAAGGUCUUCCAUUCCAUUCAAUUUUAAUCUUUAUUUUGAUAAAUCAAAAUUGCUUUUGUCUUAGCUAGUUUUGGUGUAUGGGCGGCUACAGGUUUUAAAAAUAACGCGAAUUGUGCCGGAGAUACGGCAUACCGAAGCCGUAAAUUGUAAGGGGAUGCUUCUUCGUUGCCUCACAGGAAAUUAUUAAAUCAAAUUAGGCUUCGUUUCAAAAAGUGUGCGCAAUAGAAGUAAACAAAGAAGUAUCCACUUUAAAUUUAUUUAUGUUUCCCUUUGUAUUUAUAAUGACAUGAUGAUUGUGAAUUUAAGGCCCCCGAGUAUUAGAAACGGAUGUUUCGUUAUGUGAAUAAAAUUUAUUGGAAUA